UGGAGAGUUUGAUCCUGGCUCAGAUUGAUCACGCUGGCGGCAGGCCUAACACAUGCAAGUCGAGCGGCAGCGGGAAAGUAGCUUGCUACUUUUGCCGGCGAGCGGCGGACGGGUGAGUAAUGCCUGGGAAAUUGCCCAGUCGAGGGGGAUAACAGUUGGAAACGACUGCUAAUACCGCAUACGCCCUACGGGGGAAAGCAGGGGACCUUCGGGCCUUGCGCGAUUGGAUAUGCCCAGGUGGGAUUAGCUUGUUGGUGAGGUAAUGGCUCACCAAGGCGACGAUCCCUAGCUGGUCUGAGAGGAUGAUCAGCCACACUGGAACUGAGACACGGUCCAGACUCCUACGGGAGGCAGCAGUGGGGAAUAUUGCACAAUGGGGGAAACCCUGAUGCAGCCAUGCCGCGUGUGUGAAGAAGGCCUUCGGGUUGUAAAGCACCUUCAGCGAGGAGGAAAGAUUGAUGCCUAAUACGUAUCAGCUGUGACGUUACUCGCAAAAGAAGCACCGGAUCAACUCCGUGCCAGCAGCCGCGGUA
RNAcentral lists this ribosomal RNA (533 nucleotides) under Aeromonas hydrophila. RNAcentral describes it as "bacterial SSU rRNA". It matches the Rfam family "Bacterial small subunit ribosomal RNA", at positions 1 to 522 of the family's 1533-position model. The record is from RNAcentral. Lineage: Bacteria; Pseudomonadati; Pseudomonadota; Gammaproteobacteria; Aeromonadales; Aeromonadaceae.